Molecule: long non-coding RNA, 1128 nt
Organism: Chelonoidis abingdonii (Abingdon island giant tortoise)
Lineage: Eukaryota; Metazoa; Chordata; Testudines; Testudinidae
Source: RefSeq, a predicted model, not a curated record
CGGAGCUGCCGGCUGUGGGGCAGCAGUCUGGCAGCUCCUCCAUCUCAAGGACUCUGCUUUUGGCUGGAGCUGGGGCAUGGAGAGGGCCUUUUCCUUUCAUGCUGACUCAUACAUUCAAGCCCCAUGCUGGAAGAAAGGAGGGGGUGGAGCACAGCACUUGGAACAAAGUUCAGACAUGAAGGGGCCGGCAGACUGGGCUGGAAUUUAUACCAUAUGUACCAGGCAUGAGUGGAAUGUUUGGCAUCUUGGCUGGGCCAGAGCAGCCUGUACAGAAGAGUUGGGCCUUACUCUGCGAUCACCGCAGCUUGCAGGAUAGCAGCCUUGUGCACUGCUGCCUGCGCUGCUGGCUAACUAGCACCAGUUCUUCAGUGGCAAGCUUUACGUCCAUCUAGUAGCUAAAGCUGCCAGUUGAAGAACUGUUGAAUGUAGCCACUCUCAUCUUGUCACUUGGGUUGUCUGAUGUCAGCUGGAUGCACGCAUUAAGAGAGCAGGAUGGGGCUGCUAUGCCUCAGACUCUGAAUCCUGGCACCCUACAGUUUUAAUAUUGAGCCUCAAAAGGAAGCUUUUCUAUAAACCAGGGAGACUGUUGAAAGAUCUGUCAAUCUUCUUCUCUAGUGUCCUGUUCCUCCCUCCCCUGCAUGCCCCUGCCCCAGCAUGCAGAAGCUGGAUGGACAGCAACCUUGUUGUGCACGCCUGUGGAAGGGUAGUGUGGAGCGUGCCCCCUGCAGUACUGCCAAGGACCAUCCCAAGAGGUGCAUACAGGCUGUUCCCCUGAGCACCAUGGACAUUGCUGCUGCAUCCUGCAAGGAAGAGUAAGUUCUUGGCAGAUACACUGGCUGGGUCUGGGUCUGGCUCUGACUUGCCAAGAGUUCCAAGCCAAUUGGGCUACGGAUUCACUCACUUGAUGUAAAAGACCAAGAACUCCAGCUGCUCCAGAUUUCCCUUCACAACAGUCUCUGUGUAUCCUUCCCCAUAGCCUGCAAACACAGAAGAUGCAGUGGGGUCUGGGCAGAUGCCACCAUGCCCCUUAAGCUCAAAUAACUGCAGGGAGGUCCAAAAGAAAGGAACAGUGUGCAAGGCCUUCUGCUUCUUCAGCAUGUUUAAAGCAGCAAUGUGACCUGAAAAGAC